GAUGUGGGACACUCUAUCAUGCAGUCGAGCGGACAGAUGGGAGCUUGCUCCCUGAUGUUAGCGGCGGACGGGUGAGUAACACGUGGGUAACCUGCCUGUAAGACUGGGAUAACUCCGGGAAACCGGGGCUAAUACCGGAUGCUUGAUUGAACCGCAUGGUUCAAUUAUAAAAGGUGGCUUUUAGCUACCACUUACAGAUGGACCCGCGGCGCAUUAGCUAGUUGGUGAGGUAACGGCUCACCAAGGCAACGAUGCGUAGCCGACCUGAGAGGGUGAUCGGCCACACUGGGACUGAGACACGGCCCAAACUCCUACGGGAGGCAGCAGUAGGGAAUCUUCCGCAAUGGACGAAAGUCUGACGGAGCAACGCCGCGUGAGUGAUGAAGGUUUUCGGAUCGUAAAACUCUGUUGUUAGGGAAGAACAAGUACCGUUCGAAUAGGGCGGUACCUUGACGGUACCUAACCAGAAAGCCACGGCUAACUACGUGCCAGCAGCCGCGGUAAUACGUAGGUGGCAAGCGUUGUCCGGAAUUAUUGGGCGUAAAGCGCGCGCAGGCGGUUUCUUAAGUCUGAUGUGAAAGCCCCCGGCUCAACCGGGGAGGGUCAUUGGAAACUGGGGAACUUGAGUGCAGAAAAGGAGAGUGGAAUUCCACGUGUAGCGGUGAAAUGCGUAGAGAUGUGGAGGAACACCAGUGGCGAAGGCGACUCUCUGGUCUGUAACUGACGCUGAGGCGCGAAAGCGUGGGGAGCGAACAGGAUUAGAUACCCUGGUAGUCCACGCCGUAAACGAUGAGUGCUAAGUGUUAGAGGGUUUCCGCCCUUUAGUGCUGCAGCAAACGCAUUAAGCACUCCGCCUGGGGAGUACGGUCGCAAGACUGAAACUCAAAGGAAUUGACGGGGGCCCGCACAAGCGGUGGAGCAUGUGGUUUAAUUCGAAGCAACGCGAAGAACCUUACCAGGUCUUGACAUCCUCUGACAACCCUAGAGAUAGGGCUUCCCCUUCGGGGGCAGAGUGACAGGUGGUGCAUGGUUGUCGUCAGCUCGUGUCGUGAGAUGUUGGGUUAAGUCCCGCAACGAGCGCAACCCUUGAUCUUAGUUGCCAGCAUUCAGUUGGGCACUCUAAGGUGACUGCCGGUGACAAACCGGAGGAAGGUGGGGAUGACGUCAAAUCAUCAUGCCCCUUAUGACCUGGGCUACACACGUGCUACAAUGGGCAGAACAAAGGGCAGCGAAGCCGCGAGGCUAAGCCAAUCCCACAAAUCUGUUCUCAGUUCGGAUCGCAGUCUGCAACUCGACUGCGUGAAGCUGGAAUCGCUAGUAAUCGCGGAUCAGCAUGCCG
RNAcentral lists this ribosomal RNA (1339 nucleotides) under Bacillus sp. (in: firmicutes). RNAcentral describes it as "bacterial SSU rRNA". It matches the Rfam family "Bacterial small subunit ribosomal RNA", at positions 41 to 1359 of the family's 1533-position model. Lineage: Bacteria; Bacillati; Bacillota; Bacilli; Caryophanales; Bacillaceae. The record is from RNAcentral.